This is a long non-coding RNA of Oreochromis aureus, 684 nucleotides long. The record is from Ensembl. Lineage: Eukaryota; Metazoa; Chordata; Actinopteri; Cichliformes; Cichlidae.
UUGUCUCCUGGCCCACUGUGUGUCCCUGGGUCCACCCUGAGGCGUAGCUCAGGUAAUCUCCUUCGCCUGUGGUGCAUUAGCUGCAAUCAAGAGGCUGCAUUUAAACCCAGUGUCGUCACCUCUCCUUUGCCAGUCCGACAGCUACCAAUGGUGGUAACAAGUUGCAUCUCUCUGUGUUUCCUUUCAGGUCGAUGUUUUGCCUUACCUAACUCUCCUUGUGUUCUCAGUUUUUGACUCAUCAGUUAUACUGUAAGCACCCAGCUUCCAGCCAGAAAUCUCACCCACCACUGAACCUUGCCGUCUAAACUUGGAUUCUCUUCACCUCUACUGCCUGCCCUCCUGCCUGCUGACUGUGCUGGAAACACUAAACCUCAGGUUGGACAAAUACUCAGCUGCUCAGUCUUCAAUACCCUCCCCAAGCUGGAAAUCAGCUUCACUGCAUGUAAGCAGUCAAGAUCUGUGUUGUAAAUAAUUUACACGAAGCUCAACAGAAAGUCUGUAAGGAUGGCAGAGGAGGAAGUUAACUAUGCCACAGUCAAAUUCAAAGAAAAGAAACAUUCCCAAUCAAAAGUUAAAAAGGAGGAAACUGUUUAUGAUGAAGUGGAGGUGAAAAAUGAAGCAAAGGAACAAACUCUGGACACAAACGACAAGACAUCAGACAGAACUACGAGCAGACAUCGCCAC